Molossus molossus (Pallas's mastiff bat) is the source of this 317-nucleotide long non-coding RNA. RefSeq lists it as uncharacterized. The record is from RefSeq and is a predicted model, not a curated record. Lineage: Eukaryota; Metazoa; Chordata; Mammalia; Chiroptera; Molossidae. The transcript is spliced from 3 exons.
UACCAAUAAACACUGACUGACUAAAUGGAUGAACUCUCUGAGCCUUGGUUUGCCCAUCUGUAAAAUGGGAGUAAUGAGUGGUACCUCCUUGCUUGGGUUGUCGUAGAGUUGAAAUGAGCCUCUCACAGGGCACAGCACAUGGGUCAGGUCUGAGGAAACAAGCCGAAACAUGAAAAGGAAGUGUUAUGCAUAAAGAGGCCCUUUGCCGCAUUAUUUGUCAAAGUGGGAACAUGGGAACAACCAAGCUGUCCAACAGCAGGGAAGUAGGUUGAUGUGCUCCUGUCCCACCAACUUGAGAACUGACUUUAUUCUUGUGA